This 352-nucleotide long non-coding RNA is filed under the name Taeniopygia guttata (zebra finch). RNAcentral's name for it is "lncRNA (ENSTGUG00000028393.1)". Lineage: Eukaryota; Metazoa; Chordata; Aves; Passeriformes; Estrildidae. The record is from RNAcentral.
CAGAGAUUUUUGUCUUCUUCUCAGCUAGCAGAUGGUUUAACAGCAUUUGGUACUCUAGCAUCCUUCCAGCAUACCUUGAAUCCCAUCUGAGAUUUUAGAUUGACUAUGUCUGGAUUUGAUCAGUUUUAUCAGUUUAUUUUCCUCUGAUGUUUUUCUCCUCUGCCAGCUGCAUCAACUCUUCCUCCACCCAAGACUCACUCUAUGUGCAUUCCUGGUUUUCAGCCUGAAUAAGGAUGAAGAAUCAGGUUCACAUGAAAUCACCAUUAAAAUACCAUGGCUGAGAUCUUCUUGGUGGUAAGUCCUGAAAACCCUGCCUAAGUCAGAUAUCCAGUGGAGUUAUGCCAAUUUGCCA